GAAAGUAAAAAAGGGCGUAUGGGGAAUGCCUAGGCUCUUGGAGGCGAAGAAAGACGUGGUAAGCUGCGAAAAGCCUCGGGGAUUUGCAAACAAGAUUUGAUCCGAGGAUCUCUGAAUGGGACAACCCGGCAGGUAGAAGACCUGUCAUCCGGCAACGGAAGCCAACCCUCUGAACUGAAACAUCUUAGUAGGAGGAGGAAAAGAAAGAAACAUCGAUUUCCUAAGUAGCGGCGAGCGAACGGGAAGCAGCCCAAACCGUAUCUGUUACGGCAGGUGCGGGGUUGUAGGACUGCAACAUUCAAACAACGACGAACUGGAACGGACUGGAAAGUUCGGCCAAAGAGGGUGAAAGCCCCGUACAGGUAAGUUAGUUGUGCGAUAGCAGUAUCCUGAGUAUGGCGGGACACGAGGAAUCCUGUCAGAAUUCGCCGGGACCACCCGGUAAGGCUAAAUACUCCCAAGAGACCGAUAGUGAACCAGUACCGUGAGGGAAAGGUGAAAAGUACCCCGAACAGGGGAGUGAAAUAGAACCUGAAACCAUACGCUUACAACCGGUCGGAGCGGCUUCGUGCCGUGACGGCGUGCCUAUUGAAUAAUGAGCCUACGAGUUACUAAUCACUGGCGAGGUUAAGUGCUAGGAAGCACGGAGCCGAAGCGAAAGCGAGUCUGAACAGGGCGGCCAGUCAGUGGUUGUAGACGCGAAACCUUGCGAUCUACCCUUGAGCAGGAUGAAGGUUGGGUAACACCAACUGGAGGUCCGAACGAAUAAGCGUUGAAAAGCUUCUCGAUGACUUGAGGGUAGGGGUGAAAGGCUAAUCAAGCUGGGAAAUAGCUCGUACUCCCCGAAAUGCCUUUAGGGGCAGCGUUGUAAUAAAGAGUCUACUGGAGGUAGAGCUACUGAUUGGAUGCGGGGGCUUCACCGCCUACCAAAUCCUGACAAACUCCGAAUGCCAGUAGUAUGAUUUACAGCAGUGAGCGGCCGGGUGCUAAUGUCCGGUCACAAAAGAGGAACAACUCAGACCAGCAACUAAGGUCCCCAAGAAUAUGCUAAGUUGAUCUAACGAUGUUUUGUUGCAGAGACAGCUAGGAUGUUAGCUUGGAAGCAGCUAUUCAUUCAAAGAGUGCGUAACAGCUCACUAGUCGAGCGACAGAGCGUGGAUAAUAAACGGGCAUCAAGCAUAUCACCGAAGUUCUGGACGCGAAAGCGUGGUAGGGGAGCAUUCCAUCGACGUUGAAGCCGAUUCGUGAGGAUUGGUGGAGUUUAUGGAAAAGCAAAUGUAGGCAUAAGUAACGAUAAUGCGGGAGAGUAACCCGCACACCGCAAGACCAAGGUUUCCUGAUCAACGCUAAUCGGAUCAGGGUUAGUCGGGUCCUAAGGGUAAGCCGAACGGUGAUCUCGAUGGACAAUCGGUUAAUAUUCCGAUACUAACAUACACCUCGAUGGAGAGACGAAGGAACGUAAGUGUCGCCGCCUGACGGAAUAGGUGGUUAAAGGGCGUAGGUAAAGGAGCAGAUUAAGAGUUAGCAACUGCUGAAACCCGACAGUACGGAGCGGCUACGGCCAAUCCGAUAGUGCACCCAAGUAGACUUCCGAGAAAAUCUUCUAAGUUAUAGUGUAUGUUACCCGUACCGUAAACCGACACAGGUGGUCGAGGAGAGUAUCCUAAGGUGCUCGAGUGAAUCACGGUUAAGGAACUAGGCAAAUUAACCCCGUAACUUCGGGAAAAGGGGUCCCUAUGAAAGUAGGGCGCAGCGAAAAGGUCCAGGCGACUGUUUAUCAAAAACACAGGGCUCUGCAAAUUCGAAAGAAGACGUAUAGGGCCUGACACCUGCCCGGUGCUGGAAGGUUAAGAGGGGAUGUCAUCGCAAGAGAAGCAUUGAAUCGAAGCCCCAGUAAACGGCGGCCGUAACUAUAACGGUCCUAAGGUAGCGAAAUUCCUUGUCGGGU
RNAcentral lists this ribosomal RNA (1948 nucleotides) under human gut metagenome. Its description in RNAcentral is "bacterial LSU rRNA". It matches the Rfam family "Bacterial large subunit ribosomal RNA", at positions 1 to 1977 of the family's 2925-position model. The record is from RNAcentral.